This 745-nucleotide ribosomal RNA is filed under the name uncultured organism. RNAcentral describes it as "bacterial SSU rRNA". It matches the Rfam family "Bacterial small subunit ribosomal RNA", at positions 48 to 790 of the family's 1533-position model. The record is from RNAcentral.
CUAAUACAUGCAAGCCGAACGGUAACAGGUUCUUCGGAACGCUGACGAGUGGCGGACGGGUGCGCAACGCGGUAUGCAACUUGCCCACUACUGGGAAAUAGCCCGGGGAAACUCGGAUUAAUGUCCCAUAAUGCAGGGGAUUCGCAUGGAUCUAUUGUUAAAGAUUUAUUGGUAGUGGAUGGGCAUGCGUAGGAUUAGCUAGUUGGUAGUGUAAUGGACUACCAAGGCUACGAUCCUUAGGGGGUCUGAGAGGAUGAUCCCCCACACUGGUACUGAGAUACGGACCAGACUCCUACGGGAGGCAGCAGUAGGGAAUAUUGGGCAAUGGGUGAGAGCCUGACCCAGCCAUGCCGCGUGCAGGAAGACGGCCCUCAGGGUUGUAAACUGCUUUUCUACGGGAAGAAAGAGGUCGUGCGCAACCAGUUGACGGUACCGUAGGAAUAAGCACCGGCUAACUCCGUGCCAGCAGCCGCGGUAAUACGGAGGGUGCAAGCGUUGUCCGGAUUUAUUGGGUUUAAAGGGUACGUAGGCGGGCGUCUAAGUCAGUGGUGAAAGCCUACCGCUUAACGGUGGAAUUGCCAUUGAUACUGGAUGUCUUGAGUAUAGUAGAGGUGGGCGGAAUUCAUGGUGUAGCGGUGAAAUGCAUAGAUACCAUGAGGAACACCGAUAGGGAAGCCAGCUCACUAGACUAUUACUGACGCUAAGGUACGAAAGCGUGGGGAGCGAACAGGAUUAGAUACCCUGG